GCCCUUGUAGUUCAACGGAUAGAAUAGAAGUUUCCUAAACUUUUGAUAGGGGUUCGAUUCCCCUCGGGGGUA
Molecule: transfer RNA, 72 nt
Filed under: Bacteroides sp.
Lineage: Bacteria; Pseudomonadati; Bacteroidota; Bacteroidia; Bacteroidales; Bacteroidaceae
Also listed under: 3 other names
Description: tRNA-Arg
Rfam family: tRNA
About the family: Transfer RNA (tRNA) molecules are approximately 80 nucleotides in length.
Source: RNAcentral